CUACGGGUGGCAGCAGUGGGGAAUAUUGCACAAUGGAGGAAACUCUGAUGCAGCAACGCCGCGUGGAGGAUGACACUUUUCGGAGCGUAAACUCCUUUUAUAUAGGAAGAAGAUGACGGUACUACAUGAAUAAGCGCCGGCUAACUCCGUGCCAGCAGGCCGCGGUAAUACGGAGGGCGCAAGCGUUACUCGGAAUCACUGGGCGUAAAGAGCGUGUAGGCGGAUUAAAAAGUCAGAAGUGAAAUCCUAUAGCUUAACUAUAGAACUGCUUCUGAAACUCUUAAUCUAGAAUAUGGGAGAGGUAGAUGGAAUUUCUGGUGUAGGGGUAAAAUCCGUAGAGAUCAGAAGGAAUACCGAUUGCGAAGGCGAUCUACUAGAACAUUAUUGACGCUGAGACGCGAAAGCGUGGGGAGCAAACAGGAUUAGAUACCCCCGUAGUC
This 440-nucleotide ribosomal RNA is filed under the name uncultured bacterium. RNAcentral describes it as "partial 16S ribosomal RNA". It matches the Rfam family "Bacterial small subunit ribosomal RNA", at positions 339 to 795 of the family's 1533-position model. The record is from RNAcentral.